GACGAACGCUGGCGGCGUGCCUAAUACAUGCAAGUCGAGCGAGUCUGCCUUGAAGAUCGGAGUGCUUGCACUCUGUGAAACAAGAUACAGGCUAGCGGCGGACGGGUGAGUAACACGUGGGUAACCUGCCCAAGAGAUCGGGAUAACACCUGGAAACAGAUGCUAAUACCGGAUAACAACAGAUGAUGCCUAUCAACUGUUUAAAAGAUGGUUCUGCUAUCACUCUUGGAUGGACCUGCGGUGCAUUAGCUAGUUGGUAGGGUAACGGCCUACCAAGGCGAUGAUGCAUAGCCGAGUUGAGAGACUGAUCGGCCACAUUGGGACUGAGACACGGCCCAAACUCCUACGGGAGGCAGCAGUAGGGAAUCUUCCACAAUGGACGCAAGUCUGAUGGAGCAACGCCGCGUGAGUGAAGAAGGGUUUCGGCUCGUAAAGCUCCGUUGUUGGUGAAGAAGGACAGGGGUAGUAACUGACCUUUGUUUGACGGUAAUCAAUUAGAAAGUCACGGCUAACUACGUG
RNAcentral lists this ribosomal RNA (519 nucleotides) under uncultured bacterium. RNAcentral describes it as "partial 16S ribosomal RNA". It matches the Rfam family "Bacterial small subunit ribosomal RNA", at positions 28 to 507 of the family's 1533-position model. The record is from RNAcentral.